GCGGGCGCCGGAGCCGCUGGGGCGCGGGGCCGGUGGCUGCCGCGGGGCGGUGCCCGGCGAGCCACGGCUGCGGAGAAAUUGGAAGUUGUACAGCGAUCAAAGCAGGAGAUUAAAGGAAGAGGAGGACAAAGUUGUUUUUUUAAUUGAGAGCUGCAUCCUUCCAGAGGCCUGUGACACAACCCUACCACUCCCCAGAAUUUCUGUGUGGUGCAAG
Long non-coding RNA from Corvus hawaiiensis (hawaiian crow), 214 nucleotides. RefSeq lists it as uncharacterized. Lineage: Eukaryota; Metazoa; Chordata; Aves; Passeriformes; Corvidae. The transcript has 2 exons. The record is from RefSeq and is a predicted model, not a curated record.